RNAcentral lists this ribosomal RNA (465 nucleotides) under Vreelandella stevensii. RNAcentral describes it as "partial 16S ribosomal RNA". It matches the Rfam family "Bacterial small subunit ribosomal RNA", at positions 338 to 795 of the family's 1533-position model. The record is from RNAcentral. Lineage: Bacteria; Pseudomonadati; Pseudomonadota; Gammaproteobacteria; Oceanospirillales; Halomonadaceae.
CCUACGGGGGGCUGCAGUGGGGAAUAUUGGACAAUGGGGGGAACCCUGAUCCAGCCAUGCCGCGUGUGUGAAGAAGGCCCUCGGGUUGUAAAGCACUUUCAGUGAGGAAGAACGCCUGGUGGUUAAUACCCAUCAGGAAAGACAUCACUCACAGAAGAAGCACCGGCUAACUCCGUGCCAGCAGCCGCGGUAAUACGGAGGGUGCGAGCGUUAAUCGGAAUUACUGGGCGUAAAGCGCGCGUAGGUGGCUUGAUAAGCCGGUUGUGAAAGCCCCGGGCUCAACCUGGGAACGGCAUCCGGAACUAUCAAGCUAGAGUGCAGGAGAGGAAGGUAGAAUUCCCGGUGUAGCGGUGAAAUGCGUAGAGAUCGGGAGGAAUACCAGUGGCGAAGGCGGCCUUCUGGACUGACACUGACACUGAGGUGCGAAAGCGUGGGUAGCAAACAGGAUUAGAUACCCGGGUAGUC